RNAcentral lists this ribosomal RNA (254 nucleotides) under uncultured bacterium. Its description in RNAcentral is "partial 16S ribosomal RNA". It matches the Rfam family "Bacterial small subunit ribosomal RNA", at positions 524 to 776 of the family's 1533-position model. The record is from RNAcentral.
UACGUAGGGGCCUAGCGUUGUCCGGAAUUAUUGGGCGUAAAGAGCUCGUAGGCGGUUCGGCAAGUUGGAUGUGAAAUCUCCACGCUCAACGUGGAGGGGCCAUUCGAAACUGCCGUGACUCGAGUCCGGUAGGGGAGUGUGGAAUUCCCGGUGUAGCGGUGAAAUGCGCAGAUAUCGGGAGGAACACCAGUAGCGAAGGCGGCACUCUGGGCCGGUACUGACGCUGAGGAGCGAAAGCGUGGGGAGCGAACAGG